Molecule: long non-coding RNA, 34599 nt
Filed under: Hordeum vulgare
Lineage: Eukaryota; Viridiplantae; Streptophyta; Magnoliopsida; Poales; Poaceae
Description: long non-coding RNA (HVUL_LNC007228)
Source: RNAcentral
UUUUUUUCCAGGUCAAACGUGAAUAUAUACGAGAAGAUGGUCGCCAAAAGUGGGCUGGGUGGCCCACUGCCCACUACGGAGCACUAGAGGCGCUCGUGCACCUUAGUGCAUAGUGUCCACCUUGUAGCCCCCCUUUGGUACUUCUUUUUCCUGUAUUAUUUAUUUAUUCCGUCAAAAAACUCUGUGGAGUUGAGCCCAUUUGGAGAUAUGAAGAAUAGGUAUAUCUGACGUAGCUUUUUCAGGUCCAGAAUUCCAUCUUCCGACAUUCUCCCUCUUGGUCUAAACCUAACAUAUUAUGAGAGAAAAGGCAUUAGAAUUACUCCAUAAAGUGGUAUAAAGCAUAAAAACACUAUAAAUAACUGUAGCAAAACUUGAUGGAAAAUGGAAGUGUAAACUUCCCCAAGCUUAGACCUCGCUUGUCCUCAAGCGAAAGCCGAUAACGAAAAUCAUGACCACAUGCUUUGAGAGAGAUGUGUCGAUAAAAAACAAUAUGGACAUAGUAGCAUCAUGCUCAUUAUAAUAAAAGAAAUAAACUUUAUAAAAUACUUCAUCACAUCAUUUUCAUCAUAUAACUUUCAUCCUAAAAAUUUCUCAUAAACAUGUAACAAUUCAUCACAACAUCGAAGUAUGAAACAUAAAAUUUGUUGAAAACUAAAACUACAUUUUCACUCAACUUUGCAACACAAUUCAUCACAUUUUCAGGAAGGGUCACGUAUCGGAGCUUUUAACAAUGUCUACAUACUGAACCAUUAUUUAGUGUUCUAUUAUUGCUAACACUGACGGCAUACAUAUGAGCUAAAGGUUUCCACCGGACACAUAGAAACAUAGGGGCUUAAAGUGUGGCCUCCCGAUAUAUUCACCUCAAGGGUGAUUCCAACAAUUAAAACUCAUGACCACCCACAUUCAACUGUAUAUAUAUGCCUAGAUCUUUCCCCGCCACAUGAUGCUUGCAAAAGAGAAAAUAAAAAGGAGUAGAGAAGAAUACUUUGACUCUUGCAUAAAAGUAAGUACAUAAAAGUAAAAGAUAGGCCCUUCGCAAAGGGAAGGAGAGGUUGUCAUGCGCUUUUUGGUUGUAUGCCAAAUCCCUUAGUGUAGAGGAACAUUACUAUAUUGCCCCUUAUGAUAGCAACCUUUAUUAUGCAGUUUAUCUUUUUAUCAUCUCCAUCACUAGUCCGUACACUGCUUAAUUUCCCUUACACUAAAUGAUUGAACACGUUUAGAAGCAAUUUUUGUAGCCUUUUGCACCGAUGACAACUUACUUGAAGGAUCUUACUCAAUCCAUAGAUAGGUAUGGUGGAAUAUAAAAACAUGGAUUUGGGUUUAAGGUUUUGGAUGCACAAGUAGUAUCUCUACUUAGUGCAGAGUUUUGGCUAGCAAAGAUAUUGGGCAAGCACCACUUGUUAGAGGAUAUAUAGCAAUAUAACUUCUAGGUGAAUGCGAACAAACUUAAAUCAUUACAUUGUCUUCCUUGUCCAAAGCCAAUAGGUUUGGCAUACUAUAAAUAAUGGGGGCUCACAAUCAUCAAAAAAUGUCAAGAAUAGUGUAUUUCCAUGUAAAUAUUCUCGUCCCUUAUUAAUUCUUUCAUGUGUUGCAUCACCGACCAAUGAUGUGUUUGUCAACCUUCAACAAAUUGUACCACUCAUACUUUUAGUUAUGUGGUGUCACUACUUACUAUAAGAUUAGCAUACGAUCUUUUUCAUUAUUUUUUGUUUAUUUUGAUUGCCACAAGAAAGUAAAGAAGCAAAGACUCAAACUAAACUUUAUUAUAUAACUUUCACACGAUUAGAGAAAUAGAUAGAUCGCGAAACUAGCACUCAAAAAGUUGGAUCGAACUAAAUAUUUAUCUAACUAAAUCACAAAAUAACUAUAGAUCGAACUAAUAUGGAUAAAGAUAAUAACAAUGGUGGUGAUAAGAUACCGGGGCAACUCCCCCAAGCUUGGAACAAGCCAAGGGGAGUGCCCAUACCCUCAAGUCUCCUUCUUUGGUGAGGAAGAUGAAGGUGGUGGUCGUGUAGAUGAUGAUGUAUAAGAAAAAUGUAGCCUCAAGAGGUUAUCUAGUCAUCGAAUAAUGCUCCGAAGGCCGAUGAUGUGCUCCUUUAACAAAAUAUUUUCAGGAGUAAGGUUUUUAUUCUAAACACGAACCAUUUCAAAGACUCUAAAGUCUUCGAUUUUAGUAGGGGUGAGAUGCUCAUAGUAGGGCUGGAGGUAAUCUUCUUCCUCCUCUUCUUUUACCUGCAUGGCAUGCCCCUCUUCUCGAGGUUGACCCCCCUUUACUUCCUCACCCUUGUUCUCCUUGGUGGCUUCUACUUGUUCCUCCUUAUUCAGUUCCAUCUUCAUUAGCCAAGAAUCCUCUUCUACGUGGUUGGAGGAGGGAAAAGACAUGAUGCCCGACUUGAUAGUUCUAACAGAAAGACAACAUGAAACAGGAACAUAGGAUUUCUUUCUGGUACAAAAGUCAAAUUAACAGGAUAUAUAUAUAUAUAUAUAUAUAUAUAUAUAUUUAUAUAGGGAAAUACUUGUCCUACAAGAAAACAAAGCCAGGAAGGUGCCCGAGGGGCCCACUACCCACCAGGGCACGCCAGGUGGGGAUGGAGCGCCCUGGUGCCUAGUGGACACUUGGGUUGACUUCCCUUGUGUUUAUGAAUUUCCUAAUUUCUGUAAUAUUCCAAGAACAACAAAACAUAUGUUUGCGGAUUUUUUCGGAGUCCAUUUACUGAUCAUAUCACAUAGCUCUUCCUUUUAAGGGUCCUGUUGUGUUCUGGAUAGUCUCCUUUAUGUACUACUACGGUGUCCUGGUUUGAAUAAUACUUGUUUCAACAUUAAUAGGUGUUCGUGAAAUAUAGUUCUUUAUUCUUUUUCCAUUGACCACCUUCGGGUUAGUGCCUUCGGGAUUAUUGAUCUUAAUAGCUCUAGACCAAUAAACUUCUUCGAUGAUAUAUGGUACUUCCCAUUUGGAAAGAUGUUUUACUACAGAAAAUCUAAGACGGGAAUUGUAAAAUAGAACAUAUUCACCAAAUUUGAAUUCUUGCUUUUCGAUUCUUUUGUCAUGCCAUCUUUUAACCUUUUGUUUGACUAGUUUGGCAUUUUCAUAAGCUUGGGUUGUCCAUUCAUCUAGUGAGCUAAUACCAAAUAACCAGUUUUCACCAGCAAGUUUGAAAUCAUAGUUGAGUUCUUUAAUUUCCCAAUAAGCUUUAUGUUCUAACUCAAGAGGUAAAUGACAUGCUUUUCCAUAAACCAUUUUAUAAGGAGACAUAGCCAUAUGAAUUUUAUAAGCUAUUCUGUAGGCCCACAAUGCAUCAUGUAAUUUCUUAGACCAAUUCUUGCGGGACCUAUUGACAGUCUUUUGCAAUAUUAAUGUUAUUUCUCUAUUGGAUGUUUAUACUUCACCACUAGAUUGAGGAUGAUAGGGAGAUGAAAUUCUAUGGUUAACAUCAUGUCUAGCAAGCAACUUACGAAAAGCACCAUGAAUAAAAUGUGAACCACCAUCAGUCAUUAAAUAUAUAGGGACUCCAAGACAUGGGAAAAAAACUUCAUUAAGCAUUUUAGUAGAGGUGUUAUAAUCAAUAGUACUGGUUGGAAUAGCUUCUACCCACUUAGUGACAUAAUCAACAACAACCAAAAUAUGUGUAUUCCCAUCAGAAGAAUGAAAAGGUCCCAUAUAAUCAAAUCCACAAACAUCAAACGGUUAAAUAACAAGUGAAUAUUGAUAGGAAUUUCUUGACAUCUACUAAUAUUACCAAUUCUUCAACAUUCGUCGCAAGAGAGGACAAACUUAUGAGCAUCUUGAAAAGAGUAGUUCAAUAAAAUCCAGACUUUAAUAGCUUGUGUGCAGUUUUAUCCCCCACAUGGUGCCCUCCAUAAGCCUCAGAGUGACACUUCCGAAGGAUUUGUUCCUAUUCAUGCUCAGGUAUACAACAUCUAAUAAUACCAUCUACUCCUCUUUAUAAAGAUGUGGGCCACCCAAAGUUAAUGUAUUAAAUCGAAGAAGAUUUUUUUCAUUUGCUGAUAGAUGAAACUAGGUGGUAUGUAUAUAGCAACAAUGUAAUUAGCAUAAUCAGUAAACCAAAGUAUGUUAUGGUAAACAUUGACCAUAGCUACUUGUUCAUGAGGGAAGCUACCAUUAAUAGGUAGUGGAUCAUCAAGAAUAUUUUCUAACCUAGACAUGUUAUUAGCUACGGGGUUCUUAGCUCCUUUCCUAUCAAUGAUAUGCAAAUCAAAUUCUUGUAGCAAAAGAACCCACCUAAUAGGUCUAGGUUUAGUCAUCUUUAUUUUCCAUAAGAUAUUUAAUAAAAACAUGAUCAGUGUGAAAAAUUACUUUAGAAUCAACAAUGUAGUAUCUGAAUUUAUCACAAGCAAGUACAACUGCUAAGAAUUCUUUUUCAUUAGUAGCAUAAUGUUAGAGCAUAUUUCUCCAUGUGUGGUUUUGGUAAUUGAUGACAAUCCCUAUGUACCAAUGGUUGCCUUGAGUUAUAUUCAAAGGAUUUGUGUAUAUGCAUUUCUUGAAGUCCAUCUAUUGGUUUCAAGGAGUUUAUAUGAUGACCAAGGUGGUAUUCACGAAUUUAUUCGAAGAUCGGUCAUAAAGGCACUAGGUUGAUCAAGACUAAGUCAAAGACUGAAUCAAGUCGAUCAAACACAAAGCAUACAAGAUGUACCGACAGGGCUCAAGCGAUAUCAUGGUAUGGCGUGUUUCCAUGGGCUUGCGUCAAUAGGAAAAUAUCAUACAACCCAUGGAGGAUGACAUCAAGUGGUGAUCGUCAUCAAGUUUGCGGUGUCCAAGUUCAAGUGGAGCAUCACGGAGAUAUCAUGCUUGAAUCUUGCCGUCCAUUGUGGUGGCAAUGGACUUGUGAAGACGUGCUAAAGAGUGGCUAACCCCUAGUGAGUAUGGUGGAUAAUUCAACUAGUCUUCAUCAAGCCAACACAAUUAAGAAAGGGGGUCCACGUUGAGGAAGUCAAGAUUGUCAUCAUCUUGCUCAUGUGUAAUAUGUGGAAGUUAUAGGUUUGCCCUUGAUAAGUUUUCUAUUUUAAGGACAGAUGAUCGUACUGUCAAGGGGGGGCUCUCAACUGAGUAGCUUGAUCGUACCAUUCAUCUAGAGCUCAAACCACUUGCAUUCUUGAAUCAUAUUUCUUUGUUCUUAUUUGGUGGUUCUCUUUGUGAGUUGUAGAGCUUAUGGUGAUCUUUAUGACAAGCUCGAGUUCAUAAAAAACGGAGUCCAUAUGCAUCUUCUAUGAUGUUUUCGAUGAUUGGAGUUUUUCUCGGUUCUUCAUUCAUAGAGGUUUCACAUCUCUAUAUCGGUUCCAUCUUUGCUCUUGGAUAGCUCUUGUCGUCCUGAAUCCAACAAGCUUGAGUUUGCUCAGUUCGGAGCUCGUAUGCGAAAGUUAUGGCAUUUUCGGUUUUGCUUGGGCUGAAGUACUUCUUUAAGUGGUAGUAGAGAGCGUAGUACCUCUCAAGAUAUACUACCUCUCCCCUGAGUGGUAGUACCACUUAAGCGGUACUUCCGCUGACCACUAACGGUUCAAGUUCCGCUUAUUUUAUUUUUCGGGUGUCCAAUCUGCUUGAGUGAUAGUACAACGGUAGUAGAGAGCACUAGCACCUCUCAAUCGGUACUACCUAUUUGACAGAACUACCACUUGUGUUUUCUAUCUCGUUGGGCUUUUUUGAUCGUGCUAAGUGGUAGCACCGCUCCCCCGAGUGGUAGUAUCGCUUGAGCACGACUUGUGGGCAUAAUGAUUGGAUUUUGGGAUGCCUAUUUAAGGGAGCCUUCUUCCCCAAUGGUCCCCAACUAUUAAUGUCAUUUUCCCCCAUUGUUGACCUUCUUUGUUCUUGCUAACUCUCAAUCCCUCGAAAGAUUCUUGAUGGUUCUUUAGGGAAAAGAGAGAGGAUAUCUAGAUCCACAUUUGCACCAAUCACUUUCUCCUCUUGGUGAGGGGAACCCCUUAGAUCUAGAUCCUGAAGUUCUUCGUGUUCUUCUUCAUUCUUCCUCUCAUUUUCUUCCGUAGCAUUAGUUGUUGUGGAGGGAUUUCGGAGAGAAGGACUUGGGCACUCCGUGUUCCCUUUCCAUUGCAUUUGGUGCUUAGGUUUAAGUCCUCCAUGGUGAUAUGUGGAAGUGAAGUUUGAGAAGCUUAUUACUCUUGGGUGCUUCGUACCCUAAUACUUGUUCUUCUUUGGUGCUUUGGCAUCCUAGAAGCUUGGUGUUGCCUUGGAGCUCAAUCAUUGUGGUGUAAAACUCCGGGCGAGCUUUAGGGUCUCCAAUUAGGUUGUGGAGAUUGCCCCAAGCAUUUGAGGUUACUUCAAAGCCAUAUUCCAUUAUGGUGAAGUUUUGUGGUGUUGUUGGGAGUCUCCAACUAAGUUGUGGAGAAUGCCCCAACCUUGUUUGUUCGGGUUCAGUGACCGUCCUCAAGGUUCCCUUAGUGGAAUAACAGCAUCUUGCAUUGUUCGAGGGUGUGAGGAUAUUAAGGUGGCCUUAGUGGCAUCUUGUCGAGCAUUGUGCCUCCACACCACUCCAAACGAAGAUUAGCAUCCGCAAGGGUGUAAACUUUGGGAUAUAUCGUUGUCUUUGCGUACCUCGGUUACCUCUUACCCGAGCUCUUUACUUAUGCACUUUACUUUGUGAUGUCCAUAUUGUUUCUUGUUAUAUAUCUUGAUAUCACUUAGUUGUUUAUCUUUCUUAGCAUAAGUUGUUAGUGCACAUAGAUGAGUCUAAUUGUUUUAGGUUUUAUGCUCGACAAAUUAAAUGUUAGUUUUAUUCCGCAUUUGUUCAAGCCUAAACCAUAAUUAUUUUAAAGCUCCUAUUCAUCCCCUCUAGGCGACAUCCAUGCCAUUUCAAUUGGUAUGAGAGCUAGGUCUCUCAUUAUUAGGUUUUACCAUAUAGAGAGUAAGGAUGUCGACUAGGGGAUUAGGAUUCUGUGAAACUCUUAGUUUCAAUGGCACCAAUUUUUAUGUUUGGGUAAUUCACAUGCUUAAUAUCUUUAGGGUCAUGGACCCAAAUUUAGAGCGAAUUGUAGAUAUGGGUUUUUCCCCUCCAAAGGAUUCUCAAACAAUAUCUUUAGAGGAUGAUAAAAACUCUUAUCUCAAUGCUCAAGCUUCUAAUGUGCUUUUUUAUGCUUUGAGCAAUGUAAUUAUAUUUCAACUCAUGCUAUUCCGGGCUGCUCAUGAGUUGUUGACAAAGCUUCAAGAUAAAUAUGGUGCAUCCAAGAUUUGUAGGGAGGAUUGUUCUCCCUCCACCUUCGGUCGUUUGGUCUUCUCAACUUCAUCUACUUCACCUACAUGUGGAUUGCCACAAGGUAAUGAUAUGGUGAGUAGUGGUGAUCAUUGCAAUGAUGAUAGUGGGCUUAUUGUUGAUGAUCCUUCAUCACUAUAUUAUUGCAAUGCUUAAUAUUUGUGCGUUAACACUUCGAGCACUCUAAAUGUUUUACAUGCUUGUGUUGAUAGUUCUUGCAUAUCAUGUAAAAACUGCUUGACUAAAUCUCAUGAUGUUAUGCUUUCUCUAUCUUGUUGCCAAAAUAAAAAUUUAUCUAUUUCCUCGAGUUGUUGUGCUAACAAUGUAGAGGAAAUCCAUCACUCCAUGAGACAAGAUCUGGCCUUGAAUGAUGCUUCAAGGAAUCGUACAUCAUCAUAUAUUGUUUCUCACUUUGCCUUAUGGCUAAGGCUUCAAAGGUAUCUCCUACUUUGAAUCCCAAUAUAUCUCAUGAUCAUGAUGUGGACGAUAAUGAGGAUGAGGAUAAUGAUGAAGAGAGUGAUAAUAUUGCAUCCUUCAAAAUUAAGGGUGAAAUGAUUUUUAAAUCUCUUCAUAAGAACAAAAUUGCUCGUUCCAACUUCCUGGAAAUCAUGUCUAUUGCGAUUGAGGGCAAGAAAUAUAUUGAGGAGUUGGAAGCUCGUCUCGAGGAGCGUGAGGCCACCAUUGAUAAAAUGGAAGGUCAUGAGCAUGAUUAUGCUAAUGAGAUCACGGAGCUAUCUCAAGCUCUUGAAAAUGAACAAACCACCAAGGAAUCUCUUAUGGAGACCUUUGCUCUAGAAUUAUCAAGCUUAAAGGAAUCCCAUGAUAGAGCUCUCGAGGUGGCUAAUGAUUUUAGAACUAAAAAUGAUAAGCUUGAAGUUGCACAUGCUAAACUCCUUGAGUACUAUGAGCACCUCGAAAAUGGAUCAAGGGCUAUUAAGAGUUCGCUCAUCGAACUCACCGAGGUUCAUGCUCAAGUUCAAGCUUCAUAUGCUAAAGAGCUAGCCAAGUUGCCUUCUCCUCUUGUUGUUAAUCAUGAUGCUUGUGCUACUAACUCUACUUCUUGUGAAACAUACAUAUUAAAGGAGUUGCUAUCUAUCAAUUAUGGGAAAUUGAAGGAAAGUCAUGUAAUGCUCACAAGCUCUUAUGAGGAUCUUCUAGUAUCCCAUAAUGUGGUAAAGUUAGCUCAUGAGGCUAAUACUACCAAGGUAACAUCAAGUUAGCCUCAUGUGGACAUUAGCACUACUUUUAGUCAAAAUGCUAUAUUGCCAGGUGCUAGUCCUCGUAAUUCAUCUACUCGUAAUGUUGCUACAUCUUGGGAUGAAUUACUUUCCUUGCCUUCUUUCUCUAACAACGAUGCUUAUACUUUAUCUAUUACUUGUGUUGAUACCAACCAUGUAGAAGACAUCAAAUAGCUCAAGCCCCAAGUCACUUCUUUGAAGAAAGUCUUGGAAAAGAGUCAGGAAGGGAUGUCCACACUCAACAAUGUCUUGUGUGGGCAAAAAUCCCAAAAUGUCAAAGAUGGACUUGGAUUCAACUAAAUCAAAAGAAGAAGUCCAAGAGCAACAAUAAGAAGGUCCAAGAACAAAUCAAGAACUCGACCAAGAUUGUUUGCUUCAAGUGCAAGAUUUAAGGGCAACAUGUAAUAUCUUGCCCUUUGAGUAAGAAGCCUCAUAGUCACAAGAAACAAGGAAAGCGGCCACAAGUUCAUUUACUUGCUCAAGUACAAGUUGUAGAAAUGCCUCUUCCCAAGAAGACCCAAGCCAAUGCUCCUCAAGUUGAGAAAUCAAUUGGGAAGAAAGGAAAGGGUAGAUGUUGCUACUUAUGUCGUGAGAAGGGUCACUUCGCUUCUUCCUGCAGGAAAUAUAACUUAUCCAACCCAAUCAUUAUUGAUGAUAUCUAUUCUCUUGGAAAUGAUAAGGUUGGCGGUGUGUUUUCCAAGUUUGUUGGUACUCAAAGUGGUUUCUAGAAAAGAACCAUUUGUGUAGCCAAGCCUAUUGUGACUAACCUCUUAGGACCCAACUUGGUUCGUGACCAACAAGCUCAAACUUGAUCAAUAGGUGAGGUUCGACAUCAUUGGAGGCUCGACUACAUCAUGAAGAAUUAAGUGAUCUUCAUCAUUCAUAUUAUCUCAAGCAAGGUCAUUUGGAUUAUCCAGUUUCUAUCUUAUAUCCAAUGUGCCUCCUUAAGGUAACUUGUACUUAAAUUGUUUACAUUCUUAGUUACUUGCCCCUUUUCAUGUUGUGGCUUUGUACCUUGCAUGUCUUUGUAUAUGUUGUGCUUCCAACUUGCUUAUCUUGAGUAAGCAAGUAUGUGUAUAUUGGUUUGACAUCAUGUACAUGUGAGUCCUGCGUUGAGCCUUUUUGCAUGUUGUUUGUAUCUUUUUUGAUUCUCGUGAGAGAUUAAGGGAUUAUCCCAUUUUGGGGGAGUGAUGUUCUUAGUUCACUUCACGAUCCUAAAUAUGUGUGUACAUGAGAAAUACCACUUAGUGUUGAUAUUUCAAGAUUAUCUAGUCUCUAUGUGGUAUGUCUUACUCAUAAGAAAUUCAAAUUCUAAAUGGUUCAUUAAUUAUCUCUUGUUGGUUUUCAUUUGCCACUUGUUAAUAAUGUUGAGUUUAUCGCAUUAUGGGGGAGUAAUAUGCUAUGUGCAUAUUACAGGCCUAGAAAAUGUGUAUAUUUGAGAUAUUGCCACUUACUGUUGAUAUUGUAUAUUAUCUUAUUCCUAGGUGGCAUGUUAGCUCUACAAGUGUCAUUUCCUUGUGUUUAUGGUGUAAAGAUGAUGUUGGAUAUAUUUGCAAUCUACCAAUGAGAAUUACUUCCAAAUACUUCUUGUCCUUUGACAAUUGGUAUUCCCCUCAUGUGGUAGAAAUUGCUAAUCAUCUUUACAUUGGAUCUUCUAUAUCGUUUGUCUUCCUUGACUCUUGUGGAUAUUUUUGAACAUGUCUAGUUUUUAUAUUAAUAUAGAUAAAGUGAUGAUCCCAUCUUGUGCACUUUUUAUUUAAAUGCAAAUUCUAUAUAAUGCACAUCGCUUGGGGAGCUAUCCUAUUUCUUUUAGAACACUCUCUUUAUGUGUUUAUCAUAAAAUAUGUUGAUCCCCAUCAAGCGUGCAUUGGUGGGAGGCAAGUAUUUUUCUUUAUGGAGCGUUGUGCCAUCAUGAAAAUUUGUCGAGGGUUUGUUUUUUUGGAACCUAGCUCUCUUUUGGAAACUAGAUACCUCGUCUUUUUUCCUUUUAUUUGUCAUGUGGUAAUGGAUAUCUCAUUCCUUGAUGUAUUUCUUAAUUGGUAUCCUUCAAGUGAUAAUUUUUCAUUUGAUGUCUGAUUAUCAAUUGAUACCUUGCCUUUUGGUGUCUUAGAACUAUGUGUUGAUUUGACUCUUGAAAGACUUGAGCAUGCAUAUUUACUAUAUGUAGUUUCUUUGGCAUGUUUUCUUUUUUGACCCAAUAUAUAGGGGAAACUCGACCAUGUCAUAAAUUGUCUAAAGUGUGCAUAAAAUUCAAUUUCAUAUCCAUAUGCACAUAUUUAUGUGGAGUUUGUCCUAUGUAUUGUUGGUUCCCUAACUCUUUAGCCCUAAUGAAUAUGGGCCCCAUUAUGUCUGUGUUGUUGUUCUAGGAACAAUUGGAGAUGCAUUGGAGACUCGACUCACUUACAAGGAAGGUGUUGACACCAUGUGCUUAUUGGAGCCAAGUUAGGAUGAUCGUCGAACAAUAAUCUACUCCAUCAAUCCUAUGCUAUCUCGGUAACAAGUAUCUACUUCAUGCAUACAUUUCUUGCAUUCAACCUUUCGUAGAUUGCAUCAUGGCAUGAAUUUCCUGAUUUGUUCUUUUGGUACUUGUUUGCUUUCUCAGAGCGUCCAAAUGUUGAUGUCUUAUUACUAGUUGUGAUGUGUUUGAUGUUUGUGAGUUGGAAGUUCAUUUAUGUACAAUAAGAAAAUAUUAGGCAAUGUGCUAUGCUUUCAAACAAAGAUCUGAUUGGUAUAUUUAUGACUUCCUUUUGAAUAUCUUGUUUGUUCCUUCUUGUAAUAAUUUCGUGUGUACAUCCUUCUUUGUGGAUAUAUAUCAUUAUGAUUGUAUUCUACAUAGAAUUUUAUACACAAGAGAGAUCUUACAACUCUAAUUGAUAUCCUCUUUUCUUUCACGUCCACCAUUGAAUUUUCUUUUUUAGUCUUUGGUGGUUUCGUGAAAGGAUUUGUCUUGAGUGCAGAUCUUAUAUCCUUGCAUCUUGAUGCACUCAUUGGUGGUGAAGAUUAUUUUUCCUCAUGCUUUUCUUGACGAGGCUUUUGGCAUUUCGAUUGGUAUCCCUCCUCGUGACAAGGUUAUUAUUUCCAAUCUUCGCCAUGGGUUGUCAUAAGUGUUGGUUCUUAACUUUUUUUUAGUAAGCUCGUGAACCCAUUUUCUAUUAAUGUAUGUGUGGCAAGGAUAUGUCUUGCACUUUGUUUCUAAUUUCAUCAAGACUCUAUUGAUGGGUAAUGCUCAUCCUUAUCUUAGUCUUCUAAAUUUCUUUUCCAUGACUCACACACAUCAUUUUGGUUGAGCCUAUUCUUAAGUUGCCUCUUUUACAUGUUACUCAACUAAAUGUUUUGUGAAAGUGUUAUCAUUAUUGUCUUAUAUACUUGCUUGCACCUGUUGUGUGUUUUUAUUAAUUUUGGGGGAUCAACGAUCCUAUUUUGUGCACUUGUAUCAAAUAAAAAAAAUCUUAUCACUGCAGAAAUCAUGGGGAGUUUCUCUUGUUUUGAUAAAACACUUCUUUGCCCAUAUUAUAAUAUCUUUUAUUCAUGUGGUUCGAAGGACCAUGUGAUUGCUUGUUCUUUUUGGUAUCUUCUGAGUGCUUGCUUAUCUCCUUUGUAUGUCUUUGUGACAUAUGAUCCUUUUUCCAAUCAUUGAGUCCUCGAUAUAGUUUGUUUUCCUCCAGCUGCUUACCAUUGUAUAUGUGUAUUUCUUUGCACUGAUUUGUUGAGAAGCACACACUUUUUGGAGGACCACAUAUUAUAUUAGCCUUCUAAACUUUUCAUCCAUUUUGGCAAUUGAUGCCAAUGAGGGAGAAGUUUAGAGAGUUUAGUUUGGAGAUAUUUAGAGAGUUUUGCUUUUAUUGCUUAAGCACUUGGAUCUCAUACCCAUGCAUUAUUGCUUUGCAUGUGUGUGCCUCUUUAUGCUUAUUUCUUUAUAUAAACUCUCUUGAAAGUGAUUGUCAUCAAUUACCAAAAUGGGGAGAUUGUUAGACCACAUUUCUUCAUGUGCGGUUUUGAUAAUUGAUGAAAAUCCCUAUGGACUAAUGGUUGCCUUGAGUUAUAUUCCAUGUAUAUGUUCAUAGGCGCUUCUUGAAGUCCAUCUGUUUGUUCCAAGAAGUUUAUAUGAUGACCAAGGUGGUAUUCAAGGUUUUAUCCAAAGAUUGGCCAUGAAGACACUAGAUUGAUCAAGACUAAGUCAAAGAGUGAAUCAUGUCGAUCAACACACCAAGCAUACAAGAUGUAGCGAGAGGGAUCAUGGGAUCUCAUGGUAUGGCGUGUUUCCAUGGGCUUGCGUCAAGAGGAAGAUCUCAUACAACCCAUGGAGCAUGACGUCAAGUGGUGAACAUCAUUAAGUUUGCGGUGUGCAAGUUCAAGUGGAGCAUCACGAAGAUAUCAUGCUUGAAGCUUGCCGUCCAUUGUGGCGGCAAUGGACUUGUGAAGAUGUGCUGAAGAGUGGCUCACCCAUAGUGAUGGGAAGGAACCAGAUCGUGAAGCAACUGCGGAAGAAUUGAAGAUGUUGCAAUACAACGCUCAAGCAUGGGACAUUGUGUUCAAUAUAUUAUGCCCCAAAUAAUUCAACAAGAUUAGUUGUCUUGAGAAUGCAAAAGAAAUUUGGGAUACUUUUGUUGAUAUGCAUGAAGGAACCAAAUAUGUGAGGGAAUCUAAGUUGGAUGUGUUACAAAGUCAGCUUUACAAGUUCAAGAUGAAGCAUGGUGAAGGAGUUGCUGAAAUGUACUCAAGGCCUGCUCUCAUCACGAAUGAGAUUGACAGCUUAGGAAGCGACGAGAUGACCGACAAAUUCAUCAUCAAGAAUAUCCUUACAGCCUUGGAUGGAAAGUACAACACCGUGUGCACAUUGAUCUAAUGUUCCCAAACUACAAAGAUCUCAAGCCUAGAGAAGUCAUUGGAAGGAGUGUUCCUCAUAAAGUUUCACUCAAAGAUAAAGAAGAACUCCAUAAGAGGUGCGUACGACGCUUAAGUGAUACGCCCACUAUCUCAAGUGAAAACCUUGUUUACAAUGAAGAGAUAAUCCUCAUGCUCAAGAUAUUCAACGAGUUCUACAAGAAUAGAGGCAAAGAAAGAAGCUCCAACUCAAGAUAUGAAGAGAAGCGUUCAUCUAGUCAUGACCGAAAUUGUUACAAUUGUGGAAGACAAAGACACUUUUCAAAUGAGUGCACGUACGCCUCCAAGAGAACAAAAUACUCACCUAGAAGAAGAAGCUCAAGAUAUGAGUCACCUCGAAGAGAGAGAAGGAGUAGAGAAGAUCUCUAUGAAUGAGGACCCUCCUGGAGAAGCAAGGACUCGGAGAAGAAGGACAAGUCCACCAAGAGCUAUGCAACAAUAAGACAUUAAGAGCAUGUUGGUGAAUGGAUAUCCGACUCAAAUCCGACAACCAAUACGAGAAAAGCUACCACUGCAACUCUGACUAUAUUCAAGAUGAAGGUGUUGCCCGACUAGAACUUGUUUCCUCCAACUCCUACAAUUUGUUUGAUUCAACAAAUGAAGGACUCUAAGGUUGCUUCAUGGCUAAAGGCCCCAAUUUAUCACACCCUGAAUAGUUUGACUUUAAUAGUGAUGAUGAUAAAUUACUAGGAGAAGUUGACUUGCUAAUUGAUGAAACUAGUGAUGCUAGUCAAAAUGAACUCGAUAAUAAUCUUGCUAGUCAAAAUAAGUCGUGUGAUGAUGAUAAGAACGAGAUUGAGCACCUAACUAAAAAAAAUAAACACUCUUAAGUUAGCUCAUGAAUCUACUCAAGAAGAUCAUAGAGAGCUUCUAAUAAUUCAUGAGAAGUUAUGCUUUGAGAAGUCAAAUUUAGAUAAAGAGCAUGAGUUUCUUAAUGGUAUCAAUGAAAAUCUUCAAAAGAAGACUUCUACUUAACUAGCCAAGCAAUUACUCUUGUCUACAUUUGUUCUAGAAGUUACAUCUAUGCAAACUAGUAACAAAGGCAUGGAAGGUUUUUCUUCUAGUAGCAACAACAAAAAUGCUAAAGCUAAUGAUGUUGAUUCUAGUAGUUCUACUGAUUCCACUAAUGAUUCUCUUAUUCAAGUUACACUUGAGAAAGAAAACGAUUUAUUGAAAGGAAUUAUAGAGAAAUGUGUCUACAAGAGUCUUGCGAAAGUAAUCGAUUUGAGGAGAUUGUGCGCAAGAAAGGAUUGCACCGGAAAAACCAAGGUAUUGGUUAUGAACGAAACUUCAAUGCCAACAGAGUUGAACGGGAAUAAGGUUAAUACGCCAAGACGAAGCUUGUUACCCAAAAGGAGAAGUAUGAUCCUACUAUCUCUUAGGGAAUAGAAGCUCAAGUUAAUCUUCCACCACAAGACCACACGCUCAAAGUAAAAGACAAGGUUCAAGAGGAGAUUGACUCAUUCAACAAAGAAUCUUAAGCCAUGGUCAAGUUGGUUCCCAAGGCCACUACUAUCUCUACUUAAUCAAGUGCUACCUCAACUGCAAGGAUCCCCAUCAAGUUGAUUUGGGCCACUGUCGGCGUCUAGGAUCUAUGUCCAUGAGCUUGUCAAAGAACUAUGAGUCAAACACUAGGGGCUUGGCUUCUGACCUGCAACACGAUGACAAACACAUCAAGAUAAACAGUGAACGCGUUCUGCCUCAUCGAAGACAAUGAAGACACAUAAUGUACCUAGGUUCAGGCAGCGGGAGCGUAAUACCCUACGCCUGCUUGUAUUUUGUUCCUCGGAAGAACAUGGUGAGAGGUUGGGGCUCUGGUACACGGGGGUUGAGAGAGAAUGGUUAGAUCCCCUACACAACUGCGGCUCAUCUCUCCUUGUAGUGCCUUGGUCCUCUUCCUCAAAAACGUGAGUGGGAAAGGGAAGCCACAAGCAAUUCAAAGGGUGACAAGGUUCCAAUCCUAUUUUGACCAAAGGUGGUAUUCUCCUGAUAAAGCAGUCUUCGGGACAAGACCGUGGGCUCAACGAUGACCACCGUCCUGCACCGCUGAACCCGUUUUGAUCCUCUAUCACCGAAACAGUAACCUUUUGCUAUGUGAUCUUGGAGGAGCAUCUUGUGCUGCCAUCUAGUCACCAAAGGGGCAAUCCUCUGUGCCUGUGCCCGCUGGCAUAACGUGUGUCGCCUUUCUCCGAGCAGAAGCUUCGCCCGCAUGAUGAGGGUAAGGCCCGGCGCUUGGAGACACGCAUCAGGGUUUGUGAGCACACCUCACGGGAGGGGCCUCAUAGGGCACCAUGGCAUGCGGAGGCCUUGGGACGACACGAGCNGGGUUCGCAGGACACGCCCUUCGUGAGGCGAAUCCCUCCGCGACAACUGGGGCAUGCUUUUAUUGUCUUGGCCGGCCUACGUGUCGUGCUCUGGGCCAGCAGCAAACGGGCCAUGGCACCCCGGGUUCCACUAGACUAACAACCCCCAAGAAGAAGGACUAUAGAAGUUCUCAAGGGGUGGCUCCUCCUAGGAAAUACACUCACACUAUUUUUUGGCAAUACCUAUUUGUAAUCAACCCCAACCCUAUGCGAUAGAUCAAGGAGUCACAAAUACCUCAUGGGUAAGGAAGGGACAAGGUAAUUAAUGAAUCAACGGACAUCAUCAUAGAUGUUCUUCACUCCAUGUCCAUCGAUACCCUUGUACUUGUUCCCUGUGUGGGACUAAACCCUUUAGGUGAGGAGAGUACAAAACAACAAGGAUAGCUCCCAACUCAAGAUGAUCUUCCUCAACAUAGAGCAUCAACUCAUGAAGUCGUCAACGACAAAACCCAAGGUUAGUUUGUCCCUCUUAGGGGGGAUAUCACAACAAGGGGGAUAUGUACUAUAAGACAUGAGUCAAAGCAUCUCACAAGGUGUGAACACAUUAAAAGCUUUAGGUAAAAGCGGUAACCCCAUUUGUGCUUAAGCGAUGAGUAUGACCUCAUGAAGCAUUCUUGCUUGGCUCCUUAAGUCAAUAUACUCAUAUAUAGAGGACUUCGUCAUCGCUAAAGUGAUUGGUAGAUACUAGAGUGCUUAUGCAUGUUUGAUAUUUUCUAUUUGAUAUCUUAUUGUGUGAGCAUGUGGGUAUGCAUAUUUUUAUCCAUUCGAGGACAUCCCAUUGUUCUAAUUUUUGGCUUUCAUUUUUUUCUAGCAAAUUGGAUGUACAAGAAUGCCUAGGUACCCUUCUAGAUCUCUAUGCUUUCUCGUCUCAAAUUCUAUUCAUGCUUCAUUACAAAAUUUGACCAAGAACACUUUGGACCCUAUAGGUGAGGAGAACUCUAAGUUACUGUUUUGACAAGGGCUGACUUCCAAACCCUCCCAAGUUUUUGUCUGUGUCACCACUUCUUAAAUCUUAGUUUCUCCAAACCACUAGGGCUGAUAUAGUCUUUCAAUCUCUAUACCACUGAUCUCUAAAUCUCGGCGUCAUCGAGUUUCUCUAUCAACAGGAAGUUAUGCAUCUUGGUGGAACCAAUUUUUUGGCUCGGUGUUAGCGAUAGUCGGUGGGUACAUAUAUCUCCGCGGGUGUCGGUGUACUAAUAAAUGGGGUCCUUAACACCUAGACUUAGGCACGAGAAACUGCGGCCCUCAGGCUGGCAACUCCUUGUCGAGCUCACACCAACCCCCGAAGCAUGCCAAAGAUAAGACCGAAGCAAGGUGGCAAGACUCUCACCAGUCAAUAAAGUCAUACACAAGAAAUGCUCUGCAAGAUUCUAGCCCACCAAGCCACUUAUCCACCUCACCAUGGGGUGAUAGUCUAUAUCAACUUAGGUGUCGAGCAGGCAGGUGGACAGGCGAGGCUGGCAGGGGCAAGUGCCCACAACAACGGGCCUAUUGUAGCUUUAAAGGCACCCGUCCUGCGGUGUGGUAGAGGAAUAGGAGGUAGCUGGGGGGACGGCACAGAAGGAGAGGCAAUCCUUGUCGAGGAAUGUCGCUAGCACGCCAUCUCAUGGUGCAUUCAAUGUGAGUGUCCUAGUCCGUUUGAUUUGGAUAUUUCCCACAACCUAUCCUGACAAGCAGUCUUUGUAGCUACAGUACAGACAAUACACCUAAGAAAUUACCAUUAUAGCCAUUGUGGUGACCCAUUGAAGCAUAAAAGGAUGCUUGGGGCUGCCUUUUAGGGGGUCGACACCCCGUUAAAUUGCACGUGUAGUUGCACCUCUCGAGCAUCCUUGCCGGGUUGUUGCGCUCUUGUACGUGAACUCACAUAAUCAACCAACACACAGAUAGGACGUAGGGUCUUACACUCCCGUGCGGCCCGAACCUGUAUAAAUCCCGCACGCAAUAUGAUCAUUGAUGCACUUUGUGCACUCGACGCCCGUCCAGAACCGUAAAGGCACCCCUUAGGUCCCAUAGAUCGUCCUGGAUGUCACACCCCGACCUUUAUGGCACACCAAAUAGGGGACAUUCCUAUGUGCGAAUCUUCACUGACAUUCCUGCAUGGCCUCAUCGAUGCCCAUGGCAAUCAAGAGGGCCAAGGGUGGCCCAAUGGUUGCCCCAUCGAUGUCCAAGCUACCCACGUCGUCCGCCGCAAAUGUGACGAAGACGGGAGCAGACACAAUGCAUAUCAAACUAGCAAGCAGAGACACAACACCACGUGGAGCUCCAUGAUCCACGACCUGGACCCUGCCGUCGUGAUAGCACAAAACAUGUCAACGGUGUCUCAGGGCGACACCAGGCGGAGGCUGUGAUCGGACGUUCAUCGUGCCCUUCACCAGACAACCGCGACCCGUGCCCGCGCGAUGAUGAGCUCGGUUAGCGCGCGGAAAAGACCGUUGCACAAAGGGUGCAAGGCUAGUCUCAACCACCUCCCCUGGUGAGGACAUCUUGGGGGCGACGGCGCGGGAAAUCGCUCCUUCUGGCCCUGCCUGGAGUAAGAGCGCUACCCAUGCCUCGCCCUGUCCAAUCCCUAGAACCACAGGGGAAGCUUUGGCACAUGCCCUGAUGUUCUGAACUCAACGCCUGUACCAGAGAUGAUGGAGGAGUGGAGGGCGACCAUACAAAGCUUACUAAGCUUCGCCAACAAUGACAAGCCACACACGACAUGUUUAUUGCACGCGCAGCGCGCGACUCCCGCGGGACCCACCAUCGGGUGCGAUGUUGGCGGAACACACACAAUUUAGUCACGCCCACUAUAGCAGCACACUUCCCGUCGGACCGACAUACAAGACGAGGUAUCUCAAGCCUCGAUGGACCCGCAGCUGAAGCAAGACCAGCGCCAAGAUUUGAAGGACAAGCGCAAGGAGUACGAGUGCACCACCAUCGAGAGGCGACGAGAAACACAUCGCGAAUCCAAUGGUCACAUUGAUCCAGCUAUCAACGAGCAUGUUCCACAGGCACUCGGUAGCCUACCAUAUGAGGUGGGUUGCUCGUCGUUGAGCUGUGGCAAGUCCACUAGCCCUCCAGUAGGGCAUUCAAGCCGGAGUUUCCAGACAAAUACGAUGGGAAUAUAAGUCCAUCAGAGUUCCUGGAUAUCUACACCAUUGCGGUACAGGCUGCCGGGGGACGAGACGAGAAAGUGCUUGCCAACUACUUCCCUCUGGCACUCAAGGCCAACGUGAGGAGUUGGCUGAUGAACUUGUGCAACAAGUUCUUCAGAUCUUACCAUGGGGGCCACAAGCUCUCGGGGCAGCGAAGCGAUCUGCGCAUUCUCACCCAGCGAGACAAUGAGACUCUUCGCAAGUACAUCCCGUGGUUCAGCUGUGUACAACACAACAUCCCGGACAUCCACCCUGCCACAGUGAUUUCUGCGUUUCACAUGAACGCACACAAUCGGUGCAUGCGCGAGGAGAUGAGCAUCAACAAGGUGCGGGACAUCUUCGUGCUCUAUUCUAUGACCAACAAGUGCGCGUGGGCUAAAGAAGGAAGAAGGCUCUCAGUGGAGGACACACGCGCGGCGGUCGACUCCGAUGUCGACGAGAACACAGCCGCCUCCUCAAAGAAGGGAUGCAAGCGCAACAAGAAGUACAAGGGAAAUGCAGUGAUGGCUGUCGAGAGCUCCAGCAAGCCUAACACCAAGAAGAAGGCCAAAUUCGAGGAGUAUGGCAAGGACGUUGCCGUUUUCUCCAAAGACGAUCAAGCUGCGGCAUGCGAGGAGACCGGCAAGCCGUACUGCAAGAUCCACCUCACCAAGGCCACGAAAUUACCGAAUGCCGCCUAGUAUUAAAGCUUGCUGAGAAGCAGAAGCAACAUUAAGGGCCAAGAUGGUGCCGGAGGGUCCGACAAGAAGAGCCGCAAUGGCUGAGGUAGCCGCCACGGCAAGGCCAAACAUCAGAAAGAGAAGCCUGCUAGAGGCUGAUACGACAAAUCUGACGGUGAUGAUGACAAUGAUAUGGAUGAAGAUGAAUACGACGGGGAAGAAUUCCAGAAGGCCAUAGAUGCUAUGUGUGUUGACGGAGGCGUUUCUUCGCACUCCUCCCACAAGCAUCUCAAGCAACGGGCCCGCGAUGUCAACGCAGUGGAACCGGCGACUGAAGAAAGGAAGCCCCUCAAGUGGUCCAACACUCCCAUCAUCUUCGAUGCUCACGACCACCCUGAUUGCAUCACCGCGGUCGGGUGCAUGCCGUUGUUGGUCUCAGCAACAAUUCAAAACCUCACAGUCACGAAGAUGUUGGUGGAUAGUGGGGCCGGCCUGAACCUCAUUUCACUCGAUAUGAUCAAGCGGCUACAGAUCCACGAUUUGGACCUCAAACAAACGGGCUCCUUCAAAGGAGUGGACGGGGGCACAUUUCAUCCAAAGGGAAAGAUAACUCUUCGAGUCACAUUUGAUAGCGUGGUCAAUAUCAAGACAAAGAGGUUUGUCUUCGAUGUCGCCAAGAUGUUGCUCCCAUAUAAUGGAAUAUUGGGCCGUCCAGCACUCAAAAAGUUCAUGUUGGAAUCCCACCACGCCUAUAACACACUUAAGAUGCCAAGGCUGAUGAUCAUCAUCACCAUCCAUGCGAAAAGGGACGUAGUCCUCCGCGUCGACAAGAUCUACCGGGAGGCAGUUGCAACAUACACCGGCGAGGCACCCGGUCCUACCAGCAACCCCCACCCCCCGAGGGGGCAGAACAAGUCCAAGACCCGUGGCAAGACUCAUGAAGAAUCCGAGAAGCGCGCCGCUAAGCACAGCAUGCCCGUCGAUGACUGACCUAGGACUUCUCCGUCGAGAGAAAGAAAAGUAAAUUGAUCAUCCCCAAGACGAAGCAAGUGGCUGCAUGAUGACCCACAAUUAUAGGGGAUCUAUCAUAGUCCUUUCGAUAAGUAGGAGUGUCUAACCCAAUGAGGAGCAGAAGGAAAUGACAAACAGUUUCCAGUAAGGUAUUAUGUGCAAGAACUGAAAUUAUCGGUAACAAAUAGUUUUGUGAUAAGGUAAUUCGAAACGGGUAGCAAGUAACAAAUGUAAAAAAGGUGCAGCAAGUUGGACCAAUCCUUUUUAUAUCAAAGGACAAGCCUGGAGAAACUCUUAUAUAAAGCAAAGUGCUCUCGAGGACACAUGGGAAUUUCCGUCAAGCUAGUUUUCAUCAUGCUCAUGUGAUUUGCGUUCGUUACUUUGAUAAUUCUAUAUGUGGGUGGACCGGUGCUUGGGUUCUGCCCUUAGUUGGACAAGCCUACCACUAAUGUUUAACCUCUCUCGCAAGCAUAUGCAACUACGAAAGAAGAAUUAAGAUAAAUCUAAGCAUAGCAUGAAACAUAUGGAUCCAAAUCAGCCCCUUACGAAGCAACCCAUAAACUACGCUUUAAGCUUCUGUCACUCUAGCAACCUAUCAUCUACUUAUUACUUCCCAAUGCCUUGCCCUAGGCCCAAAUAAUGGUGAAGUGUCAUGUAGUGGACGUUCACAUGACACCACUAGAGGAGACACAACAUACUUCUCAUCAAAAUAUCGAAUGAAUACCAAAUUCACAUGACUAGUUAUAGCAAGACUUAUCCCAUGUCCUCAGGAACAAACAUAAUUACUCACAAAGAAUAUUCAUGUUCAUAACUAGAGGAGUAUUAAUAAUCAUUAAGGAUCUUAAUAUAUUAUCUUCCACCAAGUAAACCAACUAGCAUCAACUACAAGAAGUAAUCAACACAACUAGCAACCCACAGGUACCAAUAUGAGGUUUUAAGACAAAGAUCAGAUACAAGAGAUGAACUAGGAUUAGGAGAGGAGAUGGUGCUGAUGAAGACGUUGAUGGAGAUUGACCCCCUCUCAAAGAGAGGAUCAUUAGUGAUGACAAUGGCUUCGAUUUCCCCUUCCGGGAGGGAGGUUACCCCGGCAGAAUAGCUCUGCCGGAGCUCUAGAUUGGUUCUCAUGAAGUUCCGCCUCGAGACGGCGGAGCUUCAUCCUGAAAGUUCUGAUAUGAUUUUUUCCAGGUCAAAACCCUUCGUAUAGCAGAAGAUGGGCACCGGAGGACUAUUCGGGGGGCCAAAAGCAUGCAGCGCACGCCGAGGGGGGUAGGCCGCGCCCCCUGACUUGUGGCCACCUGGUGGGUCACGUGAUGUAUUUCUUUCACCCAUUAUUUUUUAUAUAUUACAAAACAAUUCUUCGUAAUUCGUAUUUCUUUCACCCAUUCUCUAAGAUUUUCUCCUUUUCCUGUCCAGAAUUCCAGCUGCCGACAUUCUCCCUCUUCAUGUAAACCUUGUAAAAUAAGAGAGAAAAGGCAUAACUAUUGUACCAUAAUGUGUAUUAACAUCCCAUAAUGCAAUAAAUAUCGAUAUAAAAGCAAGAUGCAAAAUGGAUGUAUCACUGCACGAGAAGAUGGCGAGGGGGUAAUUUCAGCAUAAGUGCCACCCUCGACAGCAAAUAGCAAACCGCGCUCGUCUGCUUCCCGCGGGCGAAUGUCGACGUGUUGGCCUAGCAACCGUCUGACAUACCCAAUGUUCCCAGGGAGGUAAUCGAGCACCACCUUGCUGUCUGCCGUCAUGCGCGCCCCAUGAAGCAGAAGGUCUGAAAACAAGCACUAGAGAGACAAGAAUUUAUUGCUGAAGGUUAAAAAGUUGGAAGCAGCUGGUCUAGUCAGGGGUGUGCUCCACCCAACAUGGCUGGCAAAUCCUGUGGUGGUGCACAAGGCAAAUAGGAAGUGGAUGCUCUGCAUCGACUUCACAGAUGUUAACAAGGCAUGCCCAAAAUACUCCUUUUCCUUGUCGCGCAUCGACCAUAUAGUGACUAAACUUCCGACAGCGACCUGUUUUCGUUCCUCCAUUCCUACUCUAGUUAUCAUCAGAUCUUCAUGGUCGAGGAGGACGAAGAGAAAACAACAUUCAUCAUCCCUUGUGGAAAGUACAGCUUCAGGCGCAUGCCUUUUGGCCUAAAGAGUGCGGGUUCAACAUUUGGGAGUGCCUCCAAAAACGGUCUUGGAUCACAGCUACAUAGAAAUGUAGAGGCCUACAUGAAAGACUUUAUAGUCAAGACCAAGGAAAAAACCACGCUGGUCCAAGACCUAGAAGAGACCUUUGUGAAUUGGCGUAAAAUCAACUUGAAUCUCAACCCCAAGAAGUGCGUGUUCGGGGUCCCAUUCGGCAAGUUCCUGAGUUUCUCCAUAUCUCAGUGCAACUUCGCCAAGAUUGAGGCAAUCGAGCAACUGGGCGGCAUCGAAACGCGUCAAGGACGUAUGAUGAAUGCUGGGCUAUGUCGCUGCCCUUAGCAGGCUCAUCUCCAAAUCCAUAGAGCGUGCCCUCCCGAUUUCUAGGAUCUUGAAGAAUGCAGGCCUAAUGACAUGGACUCCGGAAGCAGAGGCAACAUUGCAAGACUAGAAGAAGUACAUGUCCUCGUCCUCGGUCCUAAUUGCGCCCAAGCCUGAGGAACCGUUACUGUUAUAUUUGGCAGCAAUGAACCACGCGGUUAGUGUUGCACUAGUGGCCAACCCCGAUGAUAAAAAAAAUCAACACAGAAGAAGCAAGGGAAGCGGAACAUCGAUCAGUGUAGAAGAACAAGGUGGUGCAGCGACCGGUGUACUUUGUCAGCUGUCUCCUACAUGGGGCUUGGUCAAGGUACUCUGGGAUUCAAAAACCUCUCUUCGGCCUCCUCGUGGCCUCCUGCAAGUAGCGCCACUACUUCCAAGCGCACCGCAUCACAGUCGUCACCCGCUUCCCGUUGUAGUGGAUCCUAAAGAAUCUGGAGGCAACCAUCUGGAUUGUUGAGUGGGCCCUGGAACUGGCCAGUUUUGAGCUGAACUUUGAAAGCGCGGCGACCAUAAAGAACCGAGCACUGGCAGUGUUUGUUGCCGAACGGAUGACAAAACCAUAUGAAGAAAUCCCGGAGAUAGCCCUUCCCACCAAGGAAACACCUCAGGCAUGGGUCAUGUACUUUGAUGGAGCUUUCUCGCUUCAAGGCGCGAGUGCUGGAGUACUGGUCAUAACACCCACCAGAGAGGACAUCAAGUAUGUGAUACAAAUGCCCUUCACUCAGGAGGGCGAAACAAACAACACAACUAAGUAUGAGUGUUUGCUUCUCGGGCUGCGGAUAGCAGCAAAGUUGGGGAUCACGAAGUCAAUAGUCCGAGGGGACUCAUAGUAGCCACAAGACAGCACCUCUAGUAUGUGAUCCAAAUGCACUUCCCUCGGGAGGUGUCAACCAACUACACAACUAAGUACGAUGGUUUCAUUGUUGGGCUGCUAAUAGCAGCAGAGUUGGGGAUCAGGAAGUUAAUAGUCCAAGGGAACUCAAAGUUGGUUGUGUGCUCAUGUCCCACAAGCGUAUGGGAUCGCAACAGUUUUCGAGGGUAGAGUAUUCAACACAAAUUUAUUGAUUCGUCAAGACGGGAAGCGAAAGAAUAUUCUCAAGUAUUAGCAGCUGAAUAUGUCAGAUUCAACCACACCUAAAAGAUUAGUGUCUGCAAGCAAAGUAUCAGUAGCAAGGUAGUAUGAUAGCAACGGUGUCAGAAACAAUCUGUUGACACGGCAGACUAUUCCUAACUGUUGUAUCAAUGGCGCCAGCACGGUGAUGGAGGAUUAUUCUUGAGAAGAAUGCUUCCCCGGCUACUGCUCCAAUAAAGUCUUGCAACAAGUAACAGCGGAGUAGCAAGGAACAGGAGUAGCAGCAGCAGAGUAACAAGUAACAGCAGUAGUGACAGCAGCAACAAAGUGGCCCAAUCCCUUUUGUAGCAAGGGACAAGCCUAGACAAAGUAACGUAGCAGGGACCAGUAGUAAAAGACUCGUAGGCAGUGGAUCCGAGAUGGAUGAGUAUGAAGGAUGUGAUUCAUCAUGUAACAGCUAUACCACGGAGAGAUAUGUGGCUAGCUCCCGUUCGUCAAUCUAAUGUAGGCAUGUAUUCCGUAUGUAGUCAUACAUGCUUAGGGAAAAGAACUUGCAUGCCAUCUAUUGUCCAUCCCUCCCGUGGCAGCAGGGUCCUAAUGGAAACUACGGGAUAUUAAGGUUCUCCUUUUAAUAAAGAACCGGACCAACGCAUUAACACGCGGUGAAUACAUGAACUCCUCAUACUAUGGUCAUCUCCGGGAGUGGUUCCAGCUAUUGUCACUCCGGGGUUGCCGGGUCAUAACACAUAGUAGGUGACUACAACUUGCAAGAUAGGAUCUAAAACACACAUAUAUUGGCGACAACAUAAUAGGUUCAGAUCUUAAAUCAUGGCACUCGGGCCCUAGUGACAAGCAUUAAGCAUAGCCAAGUAGUAGCAACAUUAAUCUAGAACAUAGUGGAUACUAGGGAUCAAUCCCCAUCAAGAACUAACUCGAUUACUCACGAUGAUAUUACUCACGAACGAUGAAGAGCAUCAUGGAAUUGUCAAUGGAGAAAGGUUGAUGAUGACGUUGGUGCUUAACAUUUGUAUUUAUGUGGUGAGGAUGGACCCAUGCUAUAUUUAUAUGACAAAAUGAAUAGGGGAUGAACGUUCUUUAAGGAUCGUAUGCUUUGAAACUUGAUGAUUACGUUGCUUAUGUUUAUCAGCAAUACAAUGUUGAUGUUUAUUAAUUCAUCUUUUCUUAGUGAUCAAACCUACAAUAGAUUACAAGUUGGGUAGCAUGUAACAUCAAAAAUUCUGUUUUUAUCAUUUACCUACUCGAGGACGAGCAUGAAAUAGGCUUGGGGAUGCUGAUACAUCUCCAAUGUAUCUAUACUUUUUGAUUGUUCCAUGUUGUUGUAUGAUCAUUAUAGGAUACGUUUUGGGAGUUUAUUUACCAAUUAAAAUAUUUUUGAGCACUAUCCUAUUAACCCAGUGCCGAGUGCCAAUUGUUGUUUUUUGUAUGUUUUUGGCUUUUCAGGUUUACCAAACGAAGUCAAGUCGCCACAAAACUUUUUGGUGAAUUUUUCUGGACCAAAACAAGACCUGGGAGCUUAAGGAGGAGGGUAGAAGCCUCACGACGGACGCACGAGCAAAUAGGGCACGACCAGGGCCUAGGGUGCGCCCUCUUGCCUCGUGCCCCCCUCGGUUGCCACUUGGCAUACCUAUUUGUCAUAUAAAUUCACAUAUAUCCCAAAAACCCAAGAGAACAACCCGAAAUAUUUUUUCUGUCGCCGCAAGUCUCUAUUAUGCCGUGUGCCCAUCUGGAGCCGUCCUCCGGCGCCUUGUCGGAGGGGGGAUUGAUCAUGGAGGGCCUCUACAUCAUCCUUGCUACUCCCAUGCUGAUGUGUGAGUAAUGCACCAUAGACCUACGGGUUAGUAGCUAGUACCUAGAUAGCUAUCUCUCUCUCCUGAUCUCCAAUACAAUGAUCAUCACAUCUUAACAUUGAUCUAUCCGAUGUAAUUCUUUUGUGCGAUGGGUUUCUUGGGAUCUGAUGAAUUGUGGGUUUAUGUUCAAAUUAUUCUUGAUACAUAUUUGAGUCUUCUCUAAAUUCUAAAUAUGAUUCUUAUGUGCAUGAUCAUCAUAGCUUCGUAAAUCUCUUCGAUCUAUUGGUUUUCUUUGGCCAAGUAGAUUUAUAUUUAUUUAGUGAGAGGGGUGCGAUGUAGUGGGUUCAAUCUGUUGGAUUCCUAUAUCCCAGUGACAGAAGGGGACAAUAUACUUCUUUGCAUUGUUUCCACUAAGUAUAAAACAAUGGGGUUAGUUCAUAUUAAUUGACUUCUCUUUGUCUACAUCAUGUCAAUGUUCUCCAAGCAUUACGCUAUUUUACUUAAUACUCUAGAAGCAUGCUGGAUAGAGGUUAAUGGGUGGAGUAGUAGUAAGAGAUGAAUAUCACAUAACUAUGCGCUUUUCUUUGAAUUGCUGAACAAUAAUUUGUUACCCACCGUAUUCUUGCUUUAAUGAGAGAUGCUAGUAGGUAAAACUAUGACCCCCCAGAAUAAUUCAGUUAUAAGUUUACAAACGCUACAAUAGCAAGUUGUCUUAUUUAAUUUUUAUUUACUUUUCACUUUGCAACUUCUAUGUACACACUUUACUUGCUUGCAAAUAACGAGACAAGGGGAUCAAAAACCAUCUUGCCCAUGUUGGGUGGAAGUAUUUGUUUCUUCUCUGUGCAACCGCUAAAGACGAGGGUUGGUUGUUACUCCUAUUGGUUAUAUAAACCAUGGUUCUCUUAUGAGGGAAAUACUUACCUAUAUUAUGCAGCAUCACCUGUUCUUCUCCACAAAAAACACAAUGCAGAUCACAAGUAUCAGACGCGAGAAGGAAUAAUCCUCAUUCUUCCAAGAUCACUCAGAGUUCCCAGUAUAUACGCACACGAGUUACUAGGAUGUCUCUCCCGAGAGACCAUCGAAUGCCACCAGAUGUCACAUAGCAUCCAUGCUAGUCCGAUCAUUCGGAAAUCUUCAAUCCUGAAUUUGUUGUGGCUUCAUCUUGGGAGCGAGUGUAAAAGCCCUGAGCUACUUUCUGGACGCCUUGAAGGCACCGAUGACAUCUCGAAGUGUCUUUCACUGGACCAAUUAAAUCUCAACCGAUUCGGGGGCUAAAGAUGGGGUCACCUACUAGUGGUAGGGUCAUGGACUAGACAUCUAGGACCCAUGUGGGGCCCCACAUGGCCAUUGAAGUCUCGGGACUACAUAUGCAUUCAGAUGCAUACACUGGAUCCACUCGGACCCAUGGGGUCACUCACAUGUCUUCGAAUGAGUCGGCCAUACACUAGCACUCGGACAGAGACAAGCAUGGACGAUGUGGUAGCUUCAAUGGCCAAGGGACUCAAAACCAUACAUGAAGUAUAGUUGUAUGUGCAUCUAGUGCACCUUAGUGACUUUGCUGGUUUGAAGACUUAUAGGUUGAGAGACUGAUAUGUUUGUGAGUGUACACAGGCUCUAUAAGUCGCUGAGGAGAUUGAGUUAUUCGAUGAAUAUCGACCCCUAAAAAUGAAUGUCUUCGGGUGAAGACUUUGGUCAUUACUUCAAGACUUUGAUCGCGAAGAAAUUCCAAAGAAAUUGAUAUUUGUCAUGAAGAUAUUGAAGAUGAGAAAUUCGGUGUGUUUUGAAGAAGACACUCUGAAGACUUUGGAGCGUGAAGAUUUACUCUUUCUGUUUCAUUUUUUUUACACUUGAGUCAUAGCAAUACCGUACUGUUAAAGGGGGUCGAGGAAAAACAAUGGAACGAAUUUCCUCAUGAUGCUCAACCCAAGCCUAAAUCUACCAAAGCCUCAAAGUGAGGAAUAUGAGGGACAUGAGGACUUUCACAAUUGAAAGUUCCGACUGUUGCCGCGCCACGUGCCACCUGUCACAGAUCUUAUCCACCCAACGGUCAUAUUAUUAAAAGGCAUUUAUGUCAAAUCAUGUCGGGAUGCGCCCAAGCUAUAAAUUGCCGCCCCCACAACCACUUGCUGGUGGGCUGCUCGGAGAGAAACUCACACCAGUCAUUUAGAGCAACCCAAAUUCCUCAGAGUCUUCAAGAGAAAAUCAUCAAGUGAGGAAAUAGCCGAAACACGAAACCCAAACCAAAAACCCAAGUGAUUGAGCAUCACUUAAGAAGUUGUUCCUGUGUGGAACUGGCGCUUAUUACCUUUUAGGACUGUGUAUCCUCCAUAUAGCUAGGCGUCAUGGUCCACAGCAUCCAGCAGUCAAUUGUGGAUCAUCGGGUGACCAAGUUUGUGAGGGUUUGGAAGUCUACCCUGAAGACUUACCACGAGUGUUGGGCUAGGACUGUGUGUCGUUAGCCAAGGAGAAUAUGGUAGGGACUGUGUGUCCUUUGGUUUCAGUACCAAGACGCUCCGAAUCAGACGUACAACUGUCACAACAGUUGGAACUGGGCCAUCAACAACUGUCUUCAUCACGCUAUGGGUUCUAUUUCUUCAACUCUCUCAUUUCCUCAAUUUUAUGCUGAAGACUCUCAUCUCAACUGUUUGAAGAAUUUGUCUGAAGACUUCCUCUGAAUUUCCUCAACCUGAAAUUCUUCACCUGAUUUAAUCUUCACCUGCUUAUCUAGUACUUGUGACCUAUGCAAACCGAAUCUCUGAAAUCUUGCUGAGUACUUUGUUGUACACGUUUUUGCGCCCCUGAUUUGGUUCUACUUCCGCUGCACUUAGUUCAUGAGUGAGGACUUUCCUCACUACGAAGUUCCUCAGUGAUGAAAUUGUAAAGAUCUCCUGUUCAACCCCCUCUAGUCGAUAUAAUGCACUUUCAAUUGGCAUCACAACAAGGUACUCCCUUGUUCUGUGUGAUUUUGGUUUAACUGCGUGGAGUUUUAGUUAUGUUGACCGCAGGUAUGAUCAAAGUUACUGCAGGAUGUCCUACCUUCGAAGGAAAGGACUUCCCCUACUGGAAUACCAAGAUGCAAAUGCAUCUUUAGGCAAUUGACAAUGAUCUCUGGUAUAUUGUGGAAAAUGCAUUCCCUCCAUCACUUCUACUAUCUCUACCGUUGAUGUGAAGAAGCGCAAAACUUGACUCGCAAGCGAAGAAUAUCAUCUGUGGUCAUCUGAGCAAAGGUCACUAUGGCAAAGUGAGUGCUUUGGGCACAACUAAGCUUAUCUGGGAUAGGCUGUCCAAAAUCAAUGAGGGAGUCUCAACAUAGCGUGACUCUCGUGUCGAUGUUCUUCGCAAUCUCUUAAAUCUCUUCAAGAGGCUUGACAAUGAAAGCUGUCGAGAUACAGUUGAUCGCCUCACUAACAUCUCAAAUGAACUGCAAGCACUCGGAGCUAGAGACAUCACUGACCGUGAAGUGGUGAAGGAACUGCUACGGUCUCUUGACGCAUCAUUUGACACACUAGUUGUGAUGAUACAAGAACAAAGAGACUCAAUACUCAUGAAUUCCAACAAGAAGAGAAGAGAGAUCUGUAUGGACCAAGCUACUCAAGAUCUCGUGCGCUGAAGGCUAAGGCUAUUUCCUCAUCUGAUGAAGAAGAAUCUGAUUGCAGUCUUGGUGACCCUGAAGAACUGGGACAUGAAUUUUCUAUGCUCGUGAGGAAAUUCCAGAAGUUCACAAAACGUGGCCAGUUCGGAAAAUAUUCAAGAAAAGAUAUGAGUAAAUCAUAAUCUUAAUCUAAGGACUACAAGAAAAGAACCUGCCACAAAUGGAAGAAAUCUUGUCACUACAUUGCUGAUUGUCCUCGCUGGGUGAAAGAAUCAAGGAAGAAGAAAUACAACGGUGAAAGUUCUGAUGACUCGAAGAAAAAGAAGAAGUCUUCAAAAUCCUCAUCUUCAAAGUCCUCAUCGCACAAGAAGACCACUUUGAGAAAGGCUCGGGAACUCAUUGACAAGGAAAUGGAUUCUGAAGAAGAAUAUGAGGAAUGUGAUGAAGAGGAAGGUUAUGAAGUGGAGUUAGAGUCUGGUGUGGCAAGUCCUGCACUAGCUACCACAUUCGUCAGCAAGUAGUCUUCAACCUUGAAGAAAAUGACAACGCUAUCUACACUGAUGAAUAUGCUAAUGACUUUGCUCCAACCUAUUGCUUCAUGGCAAAAGGUUGAAAGGUACCAAACCACACUUCCUCCUCUGAUUCUAGUGAUUGUGAAACUGAUGAUUAUCAAAAACCGAGUUCCUAUAAACUUGCCAACAUUGCCACUAAGAAACAAAGUGCCAUUGAAAAGCAUCAGAAACUGCUAGAGAAGAGCGAUGAUCUUUUGAACGAUGAAAUGAAUCGUACUCAAGUCCUCACUGAAUAUGUAAAAAGUCUUUAGUCUAGAUUUGAUAGUCUUCAAGAUCGUUAUGGCACACUCUUGGCUGAUCAUGACAAACUUUCCUAUGAAUUUCUUCAAAGGAAGGUUGAUCUUGAGAAGUUAAGAAUGUCUCAUGGUGAUAUUCGAAUGGAAAAUGAUUCAUUGCUUGCUCAACAGAUCAAUACCGCUCAAGUUGAAUUCAUUCCACCAUGUGUGAAAUGCAUAGAGCGUGAAACUGCUAAUUCUUCACCAGAAUCAUCAAAUGCUUCUAUUGCUACAAAUUCUUCAAUUAUUCCUGUGGUAUCAAAUUCUUCACUUCAGGAAACCACAAAUGCUACUGACAAAAAUACAGGGUUGAAGGAAUUGUAUGUGACAGGCAUAUUAAAAAGUCACAAAGGGCAUCAAACCCUUUGCUAUGUGGUCAAAAAGCAUAUUGUGAACAGGAACCCGAGGAAAGAGGGCAUUGCCUUCGAGACGAAACUAAAUGCUGAUGUAUCAUACUGGAAACCUGAGCAGUAUCCCAAAACCUCAUGGGUUGCUACUGAAGGACCUCCAAUUGAUCCAUCCACUCUAACAGGCUUUGCAUAUGAAAUGUCUUAUUCCUCUGAUGAGUCAUUUGAGUCCAACUAUAAACUGUUUAAAAAUCAAUCUGGUGAAGUGUUUUCUCGAUAUGUUGGAACUAACUACAGAAAUGGACCUCCUCUGAGGAAAGUCUUGGUUCCCAAAAGUUGGUUGGAAAAUAUUUAGAUGAAUGUCCUGAUGACACCACAUGUGAAGAACCAGAACCCCAGAUCAAAUUCUUCAGGUGGACCAAAGUCUUCACGAGGAUCAAAUUCCUCAAAUGGUCAAAAUUUUGCUAGUACUAGCACUAAUGCUUCUGAUAUGCAUGGAAAUUAGAAGGGACAUGAAUAUGAGCAUUAUUCCUCAAAUCAUUAUGUUCAUAAGUCCUCAAAGAAUUUCUGUGCCUAUGCAUUUGAGUCCUCUAACCCCCCUACUGUGAAAAGAAGUGCAUUAGCUUCAAUGCCUCCAUUCUCAUAUGGUGCUCGCAAGAUGAUGAACUCUUUGCCACCCCAUCAUAUAUGGGUGGUGAAUAAAUCAAACUAAUCACUUUUGCAUGUCAGGUCUUCACAUGAAAGUCAUCAUCUGAAGAAUUUGCUGGAGACCUGAGAUAAUUGCUUGUUUGGACACAAGCUAACUUUGAUGAAACUUUUGCACCUGUUGCUAGACUUGAAGCUAUUCGAAUAUUACUUGCUUAUGCUAACCAUCACAAUAUUAAUCUAUAUCAAAUGGAUGUGAAAAGUGCAUUCCUCAAUGGUAAGCUUGAGGAAGAAGUAUAUGUUGCUCAGCCCCUAUGUUUUGAAGACCCGAAGCAUCCUGACAAAGUCUUCAGACUCAAAAAGGGACUCUAUGGCCUCAAGCAAGCCCCUCGGGUGUGGUAUGAUACAUUGAAGGAAUUCCUCAUGAAGGAAGGCUUCAAUCCCGGUUCACUCGAUCCUACUCUUUUAACAAAAUCCUAUGAUAGUGAACUAUUUGUGUGCCAAAUAUAUGUCGACGACAUUAUUUUUUGUCAUACUUACCAACGUUGGAGUGAUGAAUUUUCCUACAUGAUGGGUGAAUAAUAGCAAAUGUCCAUGAUGAGGGAGCUAAAACUCUUAUUAGGUCUGCAAAUUCGUCAACAACGCAAUGUCAUCUUCAUAUCUCAGGAGAAAUAACUCAAGGAUGUUGUGUGGAAAUUCGGCACGCAUGAAUGCAAAGGCGUCAAGAUUCCAAUGCCUACCAAAAGCUACCUCCGCACUAACAAAAAUGGUAAAGAUUUCGAUCAGUAGGUAUAUCGUUCUAUGAUUGGCUAUUUAUUGCACCUAUGUGCAUCUAGGACACAUAUUAUGCUUAGUGUUUGCAUGUGUGCACGUUUUCAAGCAAAGGCUGUGAAACAUAUUCGUCAACAACGCAAUGUCAUCUUCAUAUCUCAGGAGGAAUCACACCAUAAGGCUGUGAAACAUAUUCUUCGAUAUCUAGCUCACACACCAACACUAGGAUUAUGGACCCCAAGGGCUCAAAUCUUCACUUCGUUGGAUAUUCUGAUUCUGAUUAUUAUGGUGACCGUGUGGAUCGCCAGGCAACAUCAGGAACAUGUCAUUUCCUCGGAAGAUCAUUAGUCUGUUGGUCCUCAAAGAAGCAAAACUGUUUAUGACUCUCCACAAUCGAAGCUGAAUACAUUGCUGCUGGAUCUUGCUGUGCUCAAUUGCUAUGGAUGAAGCAAACCCUCAGAGACUACGACAUCAACAUGAAGAAUGUUCCCCUCUACUGCGACAAUGACAGUGCAAUCAAGAUUUCCUACAACCCAAUACAACACUCGAAGAAUAAGCACAUCCAUAUUUGUCAUCAUUUUCUUUGUGACCAUGUACUCAAGGGCAAUAUCAUCAUCGACCAUGUGAAGACUGAUGACCAGCUAGAUGAUAUCUUCACAAAGCCCUUGCAUGAGAGAAGGUUUUGCAAGUUACGGUGUGAGCUAAAUAUCCUAGAAUCUUCAAAUGUCUUGUAGACAUGCAAAAAUCCUAACAUUUAUGCAAUAUUGAUGACUUAGAUGUGAAACACACAAAGGAACGAUUUUCUUCAAUCAAUGAAGAAUAUCACUCUAAGUGUGAAGAAAUCAAUGAACAAUUUGGUUCUCACGGCCCAACGACAAUUGUACGCGACGCCUGAAAUCAUGAUUCUUAUACGGUGGGUCACGCCACCACCCAACGUUGAAGUUCUUCAAGUUGGAAAUUCGUCAAAGUUGGAAUUCUUCAAUCUGAGAUUUUUUUACAAAUUCCUCAAAAUUUUCAAAGUAUACAAUAAUCUUUAAAUUCUUCAAAACAUUCUGUGAUGAUCUUCAUUUGAAUAUACAUACAUACAUAUAUAUAUAUAUGUAUGUAUGUAUAUAUUAUAAUGAUCUUUCAAUGUCAUCAACAACAUUCAGUUAUUGCUCAGUCUCCAAUUUGGUAUUUCUUCUAAGUGAAUGUGAUCGGACCCAUCUCCCCUCUAUGCUAAGCUCAACCCAGUCUAUUUUCAGUUCUUCAUAUGCAUUCUGUUUGACACUUGUUCAAAAUCAUCACGGAGUCCUUGUCAGCCGAUGACUUUGAAACAAAAUCUUCAAAAUUCAAAAAUUUAUUUUAACGUACCACACUAAUCGCACCCACUACUCAUGAACGAAUAACGACUAUCUCCACCGCUUCGAUCGUGGGUAGCACGUUUCAUGCGAAGACAACGGGGCGAGGGCAGUUCCGCCCGAAUUUUUUGCUUCAGACCAUUUUCACCUAAGCCAUAAAUAGCCCAUUACCCCCCUCUGUCAAAAACUCUUCCUCCCUCUCGCCUUCUCCACUCGAUCUCAAAACCUAGUGCCACUGCUAGCAUCUUCGUCACCAGUGAGGAAAAGCUUCACUGUCUCGCCCUCGCCAUCGCCGGACUCACGCCGACUGCGGAACAUCUUCCUCCGGCACUGUCGUAGCUGUCUUCAGUCACCAAGUUAUGGCACUGAAGAUCUGGACCGAAGAACUUCUACUUUUACUUCCCCAGUUCAUCUUGUUCUUCGCACAGGUUAAUUAAAAUCCUAUUUUACUGCCCCUAUUGAUCUCUUUAUUCUCUUAAGAUUUGUGAAAUCAGAUUUUCCUCAGAAAAGCUCUCAGCUGUGCACACCCAUGGAUAGAACAGUUGAUGAAUUUCACUAAGCCACUAAAUUCUUCACGACAUUCCUCAAUUGUGCAAAUUUUCGAAUCUGCACAACUGUGGAACCCAAGAUCCUNNNNNNNNNNNNNNNNNNNNNNNNNNNNNNNNNNNNNNNNNNNNNNNNNNNNNNNNNNNNNNNNNNNNNNNNNNNNNNNNNNNNNNNNNNNNNNNNNNNNUUCAGAAUGUGAACACAUAAUGAAAAUGAUGCCAUCAUGAAGGGCUCGACGAGACGUGGGCGUUGGUUCCACCUGAUCGGAGAUACGAGCGAAAAGUUAUAGCCGUUUGAAGUCCAGGGACCAAUCUUUAAAUAAGAUAUUCACAACCAAUCUUUAAAUAAGAUAUUCACAAACAGGACCCUCGGGGCUGACCCGAAAGCGCACUCAGCCGAAAUACGUUUUCCGAAAAGAAAAACGUAAACUUAGCCGCGGUAACAGGAAAUACGCUUUCUCAAGCGCAUUUACCGCAGUGCGCUUCCACUUAAACAGCAUUUACCGCAGUGCGCUUCUACUUAAACAACACGGCCCCGAGCCCGGUCGUCAGCCACUGUACCCCCUCGCCGGGUCGCUUACACGCGGUCCUCACCCCACCUUCUAUCUCCUCCUCCAUGUCUCCUUCC